UGAUAACCUAAAAUCCCACUUGUAAACACAUGAAACUUUAUCCAGCAUUUCUGCUCUAGCUGCUGAUACUGGCAGCUAAUGGCUUUCAAAUGAUACUGAAGGUGUAUUUCCAAGCUUUGUUUACGUGAGAAGGAGGCUAUGUUAGGCAGCUUGCUAGCAAAGGGGACUAAUUCACUGCUGUGCUCUUUUCACAGCACUCUAUCAAUACUGCAAUAGCUGUAGCUUAAUAGCAGAGCAAAGGAAAUCUAUUCUGCUUUUAAUUUGUAACAGGUUUUCAAAGGGGAAUCAUUAUCCUGAUUAUGAUUCAAUAAACAGAAACCUGAACCCAGGCCAGGUCCCUUCAUGGCUGCCAGAAAGAACAGCAGGGGAAGGCAAAAGAACCACCAUGUUUCAGGCUUAAGCAGAGCUUAAUGCAGCAAGACAUUCAAACAAGUGCUGCUCACCUUGAGCUUUAUCUGGCUGCCGGGAAACACAAAGAAGGACAGCAAUUCCCUGAGGUCUCAGCCAAUGCCAACUCUGAUACAGUUGGUUACGCUUUGUGUCUCAAGUCAAGGGCAG
This 558-nucleotide long non-coding RNA is filed under the name Anolis carolinensis (green anole). Its description in RNAcentral is "lncRNA (ENSACAG00000035694.1)". Lineage: Eukaryota; Metazoa; Chordata; Lepidosauria; Squamata; Anolidae. The record is from RNAcentral.